UUAUAAAUAAAAAGUUGUUAAUAAGAGAUUAAAUGGGAUCAUUAAAUUUAAAAAAUUUGGCGGUAUUUUAAAUAAUUAGAGGAACUUGUUAGUUAAAUGAUAAUCCACGAGUGGAAUGUCCUAAUAGAGUUUUAUAUAUUGUUGUAUGAAAAUUAUUUUAUAAGAAAAAUAAUUGAAAAAUUUAAUUUAAUUUGAAUUCAAAUCAAAAUGUAGGGUUAUUAGGGUUGGAUGAGUUACAGUUUAAUUUAGUAGCGGAAUUAUUUUUUUAAAGAAGGUAAUGAAGAAGGAUUUAAAAGUAAAUUUAAAAAAAUUUUUAAAUUGAAUGAUAAAUUAAAAUAUG
This 340-nucleotide ribosomal RNA is filed under the name Pheidole cavigenis. RNAcentral's name for it is "partial 12S ribosomal RNA". Lineage: Eukaryota; Metazoa; Arthropoda; Insecta; Hymenoptera; Formicidae. The record is from RNAcentral.